Molecule: small RNA, 21 nt
Filed under: Arabidopsis thaliana (thale cress)
Lineage: Eukaryota; Viridiplantae; Streptophyta; Magnoliopsida; Brassicales; Brassicaceae
Description: ATSL049800
Source: RNAcentral
GGUAACUUCGUUUUCUGGGUU